UGUUUUGAAAAAAAAACAACAUAUAGUUGGAUCGAUACAGAGAAUAUUAGCAUGGCCCCUGCGAAAGGAUGACACGCAAAUCCGUGAAGCGCUCCAUAUUGCU
Danio rerio (zebrafish) is the source of this 103-nucleotide small nuclear RNA. The record is from Ensembl. Lineage: Eukaryota; Metazoa; Chordata; Actinopteri; Cypriniformes; Danionidae.